Molecule: ribosomal RNA, 270 nt
Filed under: uncultured archaeon
Lineage: Archaea
Description: partial 16S ribosomal RNA
Rfam family: Archaeal small subunit ribosomal RNA
Source: RNAcentral
CAGCACCUCAAGUGGUCAGGAUGAUUAUUGGGCCUAAAGCAUCCGUAGCCGGCUCUGUAAGUUUUCGGUUAAAUCUGUACGCUCAACGUACAGGCUGCCGGGAAUACUGCAGCGCUAGGGAGUGGGAGAGGUAGACGGUACUCGGUAGGAAGGGGUAAAAUCCUUUGAUCUAUUGAUGGCCACCUGUGGCGAAGGCGGUCUACCAGAACACGUCCGACGGUGAGGGAUGAAAGCUGGGGGAGCAAACCGGAUUAGAGACCCGAGUAGUCC